RNAcentral lists this ribosomal RNA (459 nucleotides) under uncultured bacterium. Its description in RNAcentral is "partial 16S ribosomal RNA". It matches the Rfam family "Bacterial small subunit ribosomal RNA", at positions 338 to 795 of the family's 1533-position model. The record is from RNAcentral.
CCUACGGGAGGCAGCAGUGAGGAAUAUUGGUCAAUGGGAGAGAUCCUGAACCAGCCAAGCCGCGUGAGGGAAGACUGCCCUAUGGGUUGUAAACCUCUUUUGUCGGAGGACAAAGCCCGGCACGUGUGCCUGACUGCAUGUAUCCCAAGAACAAGCAUCGGCUAACUCCGUGCCAGCAGCCGCGGUAAUACGGAGGGUGCGAGCGUUAUCCGGAUUUAUUGGGUUUAAAGGGUGCGUAGGCGGUCGUGCAAGUCAGCGGUAAAAUUGCGGGGCUCAACCCCGUCGAGCCGUUGAAACUGGCAGACUGGAGUGGGCGAGAAGUAAGCGGAAUGCGCGGUGUAGCGGUGAAAUGCAUAGAUAUCGCGCAGAACUCCGAUUGCGAAGGCAGCGUACCGGCGCGAGACUGACGCUGAGGCACGAAAGCGUGGGGAUCGAACAGGAUUAGAUACCCUGGUAGUC